This 275-nucleotide ribosomal RNA is filed under the name uncultured bacterium. Its description in RNAcentral is "partial 16S ribosomal RNA". It matches the Rfam family "Bacterial small subunit ribosomal RNA", at positions 338 to 605 of the family's 1533-position model. The record is from RNAcentral.
CCUACGGGGGGCUGCAGUGGGGAAUAUUGGACAAUGGGCGCAAGCCUGAUCCAGCCAUGCCGCGUGUGUGAAGAAGGCCUUCGGGUUGUAAAGCACUUUAAGUUGGGAGGAAGGUUUUCUGGCUAAUACCCAGGAGAAUUGACGUUACCAACAGAAUAAGCACCGGCUAAUUCCGUGCCAGCAGCCGCGGUAAUACGGAAGGUGCGAGCGUUAAUCGGAAUUACUGGGCGUAAAGCGCACGUAGGCGGCUAUUUAAGUCGGAUGUGAAAGCCCCG